GAUGAACGCUGGCGGCGUGCUUAACACAUGCAAGUCGAACGGGAAACCUUUUAUUGAAGCUUCGGCAGAUUUAGCUGGUUUCUAGUGGCGGACGGGUGAGUAACGCGUGGGUAACCUGCCCUAUACAGGGGGAUAACAACCAGAAAUGGUUGCUAAUACCGCAUAAGCGCACAGGGCCGCAUGGUCCGGUGUGAAAAACUCCGGUGGUAUAGGAUGGACCCGCGUUGGAUUAGCCGGUUGGCAGGGUAACGGCCUACCAAAGCGACGAUCCAUAGCCGGCCUGAGAGGGUGAACGGCCACAUUGGGACUGAGACACGGCCCAGACUCCUACGGGAGGCAGCAGUGGGGAAUAUUGCACAAUGGGGGAAAACCUGAUGCAGCGACGCCGCGUGAAGGAAGAAGUAUCUCGGUAUGUAAACUUCUAUCAGCAGGGAAGAUAGUGACGGUACCUGACGAAGAAGCCCCGGCUAACUACGUG
Molecule: ribosomal RNA, 478 nt
Filed under: uncultured bacterium
Lineage: Bacteria
Description: partial 16S ribosomal RNA
Rfam family: Bacterial small subunit ribosomal RNA
Source: RNAcentral